Long non-coding RNA from Polypterus senegalus (gray bichir), 1607 nucleotides. RefSeq lists it as uncharacterized. NCBI's taxonomy places the organism in Eukaryota, Metazoa, Chordata, Cladistia, Polypteriformes, Polypteridae. The transcript is spliced from 3 exons. The record is from RefSeq and is a predicted model, not a curated record.
CAGAGACACUCUGUCCAUUUUAGAAGAAUGUGCAAACCAAGGGAAUUCACAGGUCUACAUGGAUAGGACUGGAGAAAUUUUAAAAUAAUAAAUUCUAGGUUGGCUGUGGUAGAGCAUGGAGGGAGUCAAAGCUUUAAAUUUCAGGAACAAGCUAAGAAAAGAAUGUUUAAAAAAAGAAUGGUAGGGGAAGAGGUGUGAAGACAGGAGGAAAACAAGGAUGACGACAAAGACAAUGAAGAAGACAAAGAACCAUCACAGAUGAAAUCUGGGCAACCCUGGUUGAUCAUGUGGCCAACUAGGGUUUGAGUAUGAAGGAAGCUGCUGUGGUCUGAAAUUGGUUUAUUGACCAUCCAUGAUUUUUCAUGCUGUAUCUUCCACCAUACUUACCAUUCCUAAACACCGUUGAAGAACUUUUCCCAUUAUGAAGAUGGAAAGUGUAAAAUCUCCAGCCGUUCAGAUGCAUAAGCCUUUUCCAGGCAAUGGAGAAGGCCUGUGAAGAUGUAGAUGAGGUGGUAUGCUGGGGUGGAUUUGUCACUUCAGACAAUACCUCUCCUGCAAUCAAGGCAGAGAGAGUAUUGCCUGUGAUUUGUACUUUUUUCAAAUCCUGAACAUUCAAAAAUUGGUACUUGACUCACAAUUACUGAAACCAUUUACUCAUGGACCAAAUCUUUUAAUCAAGUCUGCAGGACUGCAAGCACAUUUUCACCUUAUUGCUCAGAUUGCAAUUUCAAAAUGUACAUUUUGCAGAACACUCCACACAGUUCUCUACAUUAGACACAAUUACCAAAAUUGAAAUCUCCUCUGUCUUACUUUGGAAAAUACUGACAUUCAAAAUGGCACCCCCAUUGGCCUUUACCUAGAUCUCAAGAGUGAAACAUUUAGCAGGCAAUUGCUUCACUCAGCAGAGCAUGAACACUUUGUAACAGGUUAGUUCUCUUGGUUUGGACAACAGUGGAGGCAAAUAUUGCUAAGAGAGGUAGAGGAGAAGAUCGGAGGAUGAGAGGAGAAUGAGAACACUGACAUGGAAGAUGACAAAGGAGAACAUGCACUGAUGAAAUCCAGACCACCCUGGCCGAUUAUGUGGUCAAUCAUGGUUUGAAGACAAUGGGAAUAGGCCAGAGCAGUCCAGGAUUAUCAUUAUCUGGGAUAAAGUAACUUUCCACUGGUCUGCUGUGGUCUGAAAUGUAUUAAUUGAAAACCCACCUAUUUUCAUGCUUCUACCAUACUCACCAUUCCUAAACUCAAGUGAAGGUUUUUCAUAAUGGAGGUGGACAGCGUAUGAUCACCAGCCCUAUAGACACAAAUCUCCAGGAAAUGGAGGAUAUAGAUAUAUGCCAUGAGUGGAUAUAUCACUCCAGACAAUACUUCCUCUACAAUCUUGGCAGAGAGAGUGCCACUUUUGAUGCAGAUAAGGUUCUAUGGCCAGACCCAAACAGGAGACAGGAUUCAGCAUAUUUUUUCCUUUCCAGUUUUUUCGCUUUCUUUUCUUUUUUUCCCUGUAAAAUGCUGUUUCCUCCAUCUUACUCUGUAUUUGUUUUGUCUAUUAGCCUAAUAUUCACACCCAAGUAUGGAUAAUAAUGUAUUGCUUUUAGAAAAAUAAAUUUGUG